RNAcentral lists this long non-coding RNA (719 nucleotides) under Ananas comosus (pineapple). RNAcentral's name for it is "long non-coding RNA (ACOM_LNC006560)". The record is from RNAcentral. Lineage: Eukaryota; Viridiplantae; Streptophyta; Magnoliopsida; Poales; Bromeliaceae.
GCAUCGAGAAGCGCCACCUAGCAUUUGCCCCCAAUGCCGCGACAAGCACCGAGGAUUUAAGAUUAUUCUAGCUAGGGGAGUUACCAUAUAUAUAUAAUCAAGCCCAUAUCUUCUUAGUGGAGAAUAAUUUGUUUACAAGUGUGUAAAAACUAAAAAGGCACUGCUUAACUCCACCACAAGAUAGAACAAAAAAUAAAAAAAAGGAAAAAACAUGUAUGUUGUGAUUAGAAUAUGUUAAAAAUGAGAUCCAUAUGCUCAUCUAUAGUAAACUCAACGGACACAAACUAGUCGCCCAUAUCUGAGAUAGCCAAUCAUUCCCUCCCAUAUGUAAGCAAGUGGAUUAUGGCAUCUUAGGGAAAGAGAUGAAGAAAAAGGGUGGCAAUUAGCGUUAUCUGGACAUGCCUCUUUAGAAUAAAGUAGACCAUAUAGAAAUAAAAAUAUGUAUUUUGUUUAAUAAUGAGAGACUAGCUGUUAAAGUGUUAAUUAAUAUAUAACUAAUGAUGAAAUGGCUUAGGCCAAUAAACUUUUAGUCACAAUAAAAUUUUGGUCAUGUAUAUAUAUACAAACUAUGUUUAACUUAGAUGCAUAUAUAUAUACAUCGUCAUCAUAUAUAUUUUCGCAGAUUAUGUAUAUGCAUUUCAUAGCACUACAUGCGAACUCACUAAUUAAGCGAAGAGAUAACUUUUUUAUUUUCAGGUGAGCGAAACUCCCCAACACUA